This is a non-coding RNA of Pocillopora verrucosa, 72 nucleotides long. NCBI's taxonomy places the organism in Eukaryota, Metazoa, Cnidaria, Anthozoa, Scleractinia, Pocilloporidae. The record is from the annotation of a RefSeq genome assembly.
GUCUUUGUGGCUCAGUGGUAGAGCAUCGGAGUGCAAAUGCGAAGGUCUGAGGUUCGAUUCCCCACGGGGACU